GGAAAUUAGCAUCGUUUAAAAAGCGAAGGGCUGGAUCAUCCCGAUUUGACAUCGGGAGGGUCAAGGGUUCGAAUCCCUUAUUCUCCA
RNAcentral lists this transfer RNA (87 nucleotides) under Flavobacteriia bacterium. RNAcentral describes it as "tRNA-Ser". Lineage: Bacteria; Pseudomonadati; Bacteroidota; Flavobacteriia. The record is from RNAcentral.